Non-coding RNA from Poecilia reticulata (guppy), 2413 nucleotides. The record is from RefSeq and is a predicted model, not a curated record. NCBI's taxonomy places the organism in Eukaryota, Metazoa, Chordata, Actinopteri, Cyprinodontiformes, Poeciliidae.
CUUUCUUCCGACAACAUUGAAUGCAACACAAUGUAACCUGACACCCACUGCUAAGUAGCGGGAAGUGAGAGAGAAGGACAGACUCCCUAAAAUAGCGGCUGAUCCCAGUGCAGCUGCUGCGGUCGGUCAGACCCUCUGGAUGUUUCUGCCUCCGAACCUCCGUCUGACCCCAGCGGACCCGGAGGAGGAGCGACACGGAGGCGGACAUGGCGAUGCACAGCCCGGGACCACCACUGCUCCGCUCCACCGGGGACCAGCUUUCUCCGAUUCUGCGAUAAAAUGAAGUAAAAGUCGCGGAAAACCGAUGCUGCUGCUGCGUUUCGGUGCGCAAAACUCUCCAAACGUUGCCGGUGUAACACCGGCAGAUUUCCAAAAGCAGGACGGCUUUUCCAGGGAAAUGAAGGCUUUGUCAAUUAAAUGUCUCCGUUUCAGCGGCUGUGUUCAGAUUAACAGCCCGCGGUUCCCCCGCCUCCGCUGGGAUCACCGUGUUCACCGACCCGCUGCAAGUUCCUCCAACUUCUCCACCAAGAAAAAACACAUGGAGGGGUUAAUUCAUCAGCUACUGAUUAGAAAUGAGAUUAUUUCACGUUUGAGGGCCACCACGCCGUUGCCUAGCAACCCCCCGAGGCCCCGCCCGUCACCUAGCAACCCAGUUCUACUUCCGCUGGCAGGUAUUUCACUUGCAUCAUGGCAAAAAUGUCUCGUCAUAAAUAAGAUAAUCUGCUAGGGAAGAUACUUUUUCAUCAGCGUUCAAGAAUUAUCGACUCAAAACAGGCUGCUGUAUUUGGCUGAAACUUUACUUGUAAGUUAUUUUUGUCUUAUUUCAAAGUUGUUGGAACUAAACUGAAAAAAAUAAAUAUGAAGGUCAAUUUAUUUCUAACACAUCAAGCAAAGUUCUCAAUUUUUCUAAAUGAACUGGUGCAUUUUAAGGCUAUACGUUUAUGUGUUUCUGCUUUUAUUUUUCUUUAUGUCAGUUUCAGUUUUCCAAAUCCAACAUAUUUAGCAGAAAGUUGCUUGAAGUUUUAAAACAAAUCAGAAGCAUAUUUGUGUAUUUUUGCCAUUUUAUGGACAAUUUUAAACCACAUUAAAUGUGAUUUAUUGCUUAUAUAAUCCUUAAUGAAAGAAAAACAGUUUUAUUCAGUAGUUUUAAUAUCUCCUGAUUUCCAGUAUCUGGGUGCAGUAGCAGAUUUCAAACACUUGUGGGCGCUGUUGGUGCAGAUUUAUUUUUCCCUUAUACCUGUUUGACAGAUAAAGGUAAAAAAUUGAAGAGAGUAAGCAAAAAAAUUAAGAUAAUGAACUAGAAAUUAAUAAACUAUGAAUUUAGGAGAAGAAACUCCCCAGAGUCGUGACAUCACUGCCGGAGUUUAAACUCCCAGUCGCUGCCUGUAAUUGGUUGUGGGCGUUUUGGAGGGUCAGCUGUUGACCCUUGGCUCUGGGUGUGUCUAAUCGCCUGACCACCCAGUCUCUGCUGAUAAACACGUCUGACCCGAGGUGAGCAAAGUGGGGUUUAAAUACGCCGAGCCAAAGAUAAAACGCUCCUUUGACGCCAACAUUCGGCCAUCUUGUCUCAACAAGCCAGUUAUUUCUGGGAGUCCUGGGCAAGUUUGAAAAUGUUUUCUACAAGCUUACAAUGUCACAAACUUUGGUGCUUUCUCAAGAUUUAAGCAACCAGUUAGAUAAGAGGAAAAUAAGGAUUAUAAGAGGAAUUACAUUUUUAAUUUAUAUUUUCGUUUAGCAGGAAGUGUACAGGAUUCUUUACAGGAAAUGAUGAAAAAUCUUCUGUUAACAACAGGUAACAAUCAGAGGUUUUUACAGUGAAUCUCAAACUAUUAUCAUUAAACAAAUGAAUGGAUGAAUGAAUAAAUCACCGAAUAAUGAACCAGACUUGUAAAAAUUAAGAUAAAACUGGAAUAAAUAGUUUGUAUUAUUAAGUUAUUUCAGACUCAUUUUCAGAUCUAUAAAUUGACCCUGACAUCUGAUUGGCUAACCUCCACAGGAAGUCCACUGUAAAGUCAAAAUAAAUCUAUUUUACUUUCAGUGUUUUACUGUUUAUUUUUCAUUUUAUUUUCUCCGCACUUUAAUUGCCGCUCCGUCCUGCCGGUGGACAGACGCGGUGACGAGGGUGCGAACAGCAACCGGUGGCUCCUCCACUCUGACUCGCUCACUUUUACCUGCCAGAUGUUUGGAGGUGAAACAAACUCCACCACACUGAAAAACUGAACUACGUCUGAUUCUAAUCAAUUUAAAGUCUGAGGAAAAAAGAAAACACAGCCUUUUGUUUAGUGGAGGCAUCAGGAGCAUCAGAACCACACCGAACCUUUUCUGUCCUUCUGUCGGCAGCUCUCUGCUAUUUAUUCUGUAUAAAGUACAUUUUUGCACAGGAGGAAUAUUAAAUGCAAAUUUACUCAAUGGA